RNAcentral lists this long non-coding RNA (173 nucleotides) under Cricetulus griseus (Chinese hamster). RNAcentral's name for it is "lncRNA (ENSCGRG00000025098.1)". The record is from RNAcentral. Lineage: Eukaryota; Metazoa; Chordata; Mammalia; Rodentia; Cricetidae.
CAGCAUUUGGUCACCAAGGGGGAUCUGCAGCUGUGCAGCCUGGCACACACUUGAAAGAGGCCAGGAGAAGAGAUCGUUGGUCUUUGAUACAUCAGGCACCCAGGACUGUCCCACCAUUUGCAAGCUGGAGUGAACAAACUAGAUGUCACCAGUGAAGACACAGCUCUCCACUC